This 496-nucleotide ribosomal RNA is filed under the name uncultured bacterium. Its description in RNAcentral is "partial 16S ribosomal RNA". It matches the Rfam family "Bacterial small subunit ribosomal RNA", at positions 28 to 506 of the family's 1533-position model. The record is from RNAcentral.
GAUGAACGCUGGCGGCGUGCCUAAUACAUGCAAGUCGAGCGAACAGACGAGGAGCUUGCUCCUCUGACGUUAGCGGCGGACGGGUGAGUAACACGUGGAUAACCUACCUAUAAGACUGGGAUAACUUCGGGAAACCGGAGCUAAUACCGGAUAAUAUAUUGAACCGCAUGGUUCAAUAGUGAAAGACGGUUUUGCUGUCACUUAUAGAUGGAUCCGCGCCGCAUUAGCUAGUUGGUAAGGUAACGGCUUACCAAGGCAACGAUGCGUAGCCGACCUGAGAGGGUGAUCGGCCACACUGGAACUGAGACACGGUCCAGACUCCUACGGGAGGCAGCAGUAGGGAAUCUUCCGCAAUGGGCGAAAGCCUGACGGAGCAACGCCACGUGAGUGAUGAAGGUCUUCGGAUCGUAAAACUCUGUUAUUAGGGAAGAACAAAUGUGUAAGUAACUAUGCACGUCUUGACGGUACCUAAUCAGAAAACCACGGCUAACUACGU